GGAACUGGUGCGUCUGGCCGUCUGGCCCGAGUUCAAGUGCGUGCGCUGACUCCCCCGCUCGCUGCUCGCUGCUCGGGGAGGAAGUGAAGGCUGGAAGAGCGACUCAGCAGCAGCGGGCCGAGGAGCAGGCAGACGCACGUGGCAGACCGGGGCCGCGUGAGAAGCCCUGGGACUCGUGCCGUGCCGUCGGCUUGCCAAACCCAGUCCUGGCAGGGGUGGGGUUCCCACCGAGAGAGAGGCCCUCGAAGGCGCGGGCCCACCUAAUUAAUUUCAAGUGUUUGGGGAAAUCAGAGAAAAAUUGCUGAAGACAAAUCCCAGACCUCCCAUUGGACAACUGCUCCCCCUGCUCAUGGUCCCCUUAAGUCUAGUUCCCAUGCAAAUGCGGGCCUCCAGCCCCUCUCCUCGUGGGGAGGAGCGGGGGAGGGCGCUCGGUCCACCCUCCCUCCCUGCCCGAAGCGGCCCCUGGAGGAGGUCUCCCCGCUCCGGGCCUCAGACUGGAAGAGCACGGCGCCCCAGGCUGCCAUUGUCCCCGUCCCCGGGGGCAAACAAGUGUAGGAAGGAGAAAGCACCGUCCGGAUGGAGCUGAAGGAAGCUGCAGUAAGGUCUUUUGUUAAAAUUGGAAAGCAGUCCUAGGAAGGACGGGGGAAGGACUCUGCCGUGGAAGAAACCAGCAGAGGAUCAAACACGAUGGGCGGAGAAAUGGAGCCCUCCAGUGAAGAGGUCCCCACGCCCCCAGGUACAGCACCGCCACUCCUAAAGUAUCUCCAUUCGCUCCCUGCUCCCUGGCCUGCCUUCCCGACUAGAAGAGGAGAAUUUGGGGUCUUGCUCACCAGUGGGUCCUUGUAGUCACAGUACCCCCAGGAGGGCAAGGCACACAGUAGGCAGUCAAUAAAUGCCUGUUAAAUAAGCA
This 910-nucleotide long non-coding RNA is filed under the name Sus scrofa (pig). Its description in RNAcentral is "lncRNA (ENSSSCG00050034494.1)". The record is from RNAcentral. Lineage: Eukaryota; Metazoa; Chordata; Mammalia; Artiodactyla; Suidae.